Long non-coding RNA from Pseudopipra pipra, 662 nucleotides. RefSeq lists it as uncharacterized. The record is from RefSeq and is a predicted model, not a curated record. The transcript is spliced from 3 exons. Lineage: Eukaryota; Metazoa; Chordata; Aves; Passeriformes; Pipridae.
AAUAACUCCUGUCAGCAGCAAGGUCCUGACUGAAGUGGCAGCUGCAGUUGUUCCUGUGGUGUGGGCCAGUGGAAUUCCAAGAAAAUGGACAAGGACAGAAGCUGUAAGAAUUACCCCUAAGCCAGAGUCUCUCCUGGCAGAAGAGCCCAGGCCUGAGCUGGCUGAGUGUUGGUGUGAGCCAGAGUGGGUGUCCCUGCCCUGGGGCCAGUCCCCAGAGCUGCCUUUGGCAUCCCCUGCUGAAGGGUGGGAGCUGCCCAGAGCCAGCAGCAUCCAGCUGGAGGAUCCAGGAGGAUGCAGCUCUGCUUUGCUGGGAGCUUGUCCAGGAGAUGGAAUUCCAGUGCUACAGUCCAGAUGGGUCGUGGUGCUCCCAAAAGGACCCUUUGUGCCUUCAGGGCAGGUUCUGGUGCCACUGGAGCUGCUGGGAGAAGCAUAGGGUUGGCAGUGAGAGGCCUGGAAUGAUGUUGCUGUGGCACAGAAGAAAUGAGCAGUGGUGGUACAAUUGGCUAUUUUGUCUUGAAUGUAAUGGUAAGAGCUCCAGGAGUGCAAGGUGUGUGUUCCAGUCCCCAGCAUUUGGUUUGCACCUGUCCUGGUCAGACACAGGUCCAACUUCCUCAGUCCUUAACCCAGUAGAGGGCGAAUUAAGGACUGGCAGUGUUAAGGUG